This 388-nucleotide ribosomal RNA is filed under the name uncultured bacterium. RNAcentral's name for it is "bacterial SSU rRNA". It matches the Rfam family "Bacterial small subunit ribosomal RNA", at positions 100 to 524 of the family's 1533-position model. The record is from RNAcentral.
CACGGGUGCGUAACGCGUGGGAACCUGCCCUUUGGUUCGGAAUAACUCAGGGAAACUUGAGCUAAUACCGGAUGAUGACUUCGGUCCAAAGAUUUAUCGCCGAGGGAUGGGCCCGCGUAGGAUUAGCUAGUUGGUGGGGUAAUGGCCUACCAAGGCGACGAUCCUUAGCUGGUCUGAGAGGAUGAUCAGCCACACUGGGACUGAGACACGGCCCAGACUCCUACGGGAGGCAGCAGUGGGGAAUAUUGGACAAUGGGCGCAAGCCUGAUCCAGCAAUGCCGCGUGAGUGAUGAAGGCCUUCGGGUUGUAAAGCUCUUUUACCCGGGAUGAUAAUGACAGUACCGGGAGAAUAAGCUCCGGCUAACUCCGUGCCAGCAGCCGCGGUAAU